RNAcentral lists this ribosomal RNA (493 nucleotides) under Halobacillus trueperi. RNAcentral describes it as "bacterial SSU rRNA". It matches the Rfam family "Bacterial small subunit ribosomal RNA", at positions 16 to 476 of the family's 1533-position model. Lineage: Bacteria; Bacillati; Bacillota; Bacilli; Caryophanales; Bacillaceae. The record is from RNAcentral.
AUCCUGGCUCAGGACGAACGCUGGCGGCGUGCCUAAUACAUGCAAGUCGAGCGCGGGAAGCGAGCGGAUCCCUUCGGGGUGAAGCUCGUGGAACGAGCGGCGGACGGGUGAGUAACACGUGGGCAACCUGCCUGUAAGAUCGGAAUAACCCCGGGAAACCGGGGCUAAUGCCGGGUAAUACUUUCUUUCGCAUGAAGGAAAGUUGAAAGAUGGCUUCUUGCUAUCACUUACAGAUGGGCCCGCGGCGCAUUAGCUAGUUGGUGAGGUAACGGCUCACCAAGGCGACGAUGCGUAGCCGACCUGAGAGGGUGAUCGGCCACACUGGGACUGAGACACGGCCCAGACUCCUACGGGAGGCAGCAGUAGGGAAUCUUCCGCAAUGGACGAAAGUCUGACGGAGCAACGCCGCGUGAACGAUGAAGGUCUUCGGAUCGUAAAGUUCUGUUGUUAGGGAAGAACAAAUACCGUGCGAAUAGAGCGGUACCUUGACGGU